Molecule: long non-coding RNA, 2550 nt
Organism: Bacillus rossius redtenbacheri
Lineage: Eukaryota; Metazoa; Arthropoda; Insecta; Phasmatodea; Bacillidae
Exons: 2
Source: RefSeq, a predicted model, not a curated record
UUCCGAGUGGUACCGUUCGGAGCGCUAAACGCUGCCGCAAUUGUCGCCGUGGAAGAGGAAGAUUCUUCAUUCUAUUGUUCAAGCCCAAGAAUAACCAUGCGUCUCGUGUACGCCGGUCACGUGUACGUGUUGUGAAUAUUUUUUGUAGCACGAGUUAUUGUGAAGUGGGGCAGCAUAAGACUUGUGUUCCAUAUAAAUGGAGAAGGAUCUAAGGUUAAAAGAGUCAAACGACAACCUGCUGCUGUACACACAAGAGUGGCGUCAUUAAUAGAGGCUCUGACUCAUUUCAAAGAAAUGUGGAGAUUGUAAAUAGUAAAAUGAUUUUCUUUUUUAAUGUUGAUAUGUACCUCUAUAAAUGUAAGUUUUAAUGUUGAUAAUGCACACCUAUGAAUGUAAACCUGUGUCACAUUUCUUUAUUGUUUACAAAAAAGAUUUCGUGAUUUGUUAUUACAGCCAUUUUGUAUUAUUUCAGCUUUGAGAAUAUAAAUUUUAAGCUGUUUUUUUGAGUUGAGCUAUUUUUAAUAUGUUUGAUGGUAACGGAGCAUACUAUGUAAAUUGUGGUGUAUUCGGACUUGUUUAUGGUAUUAUUGUUAGUGUGUUACCAAUAAAUUCUUAUUGGCAAUUAUUAUUUAAGGUUUAAAACUUUAAAUUUGUAAAGCUACUGUGCCUCUAUUGAUAGUAUAAUAAUAAUUUCUGCGUGGUGUUAGUUAUUUAUAAUAGGUAUUUAUUCUCUAGAGAUUAACUUUUUUUAAACGUUUUACAGUCAAGGCCCAUACCGACAAGCCAUGUCCUCAAGAAACUUGCCUUUGUUGCAUUGUUUUUAUUUAAGAUUGUGUUUAACUGUAAAUAGCGUAAAACAGUCACUUUUUAAACAUGAAAUAUUGUUUCGUGGUAUAGGAAAACUUUUCCUGAAGACAAUGGUCUAGAUACAAGUGUUUCCAAUGACAAUUUCAGAUUUUUUUAUUUUCAUCUUUGAUGGGUUUAUUGUAAUACAAUGAAGUGUUUAACUCAUUUACUCAAUAAUUAAUUCAUCAACGCACAGCCCAAACCGUUGGAACUAGACCAAUGGGUUUUUUUUUUAGCAAAUUUUUCAAUUUUGCAAAAUUUGUUAAGAGGGUGAAAGGCAGUAGAAUGUUUUUUUUUUCUUUUCUUUCCCUUAAAUUACCUAAUGUAUCGAGGUGUUAUUUUCUUAAGAAUGAGGCUUAUGUAAAUAUCUAAAGUAUUUUCAGAAUUUUUCUAAAUUCUAACUUUUAAGCCAUAAAAAAAUGUUUCCAAUUAAUUAUCUGUAUCUGUUAAAUUUGUUAAGACGAUGUCUUGAUAAGAAUUAAGGUUGUGAAAAUUUCUAAAAAUCAGUUUCUGGAUUUUAUGAAAUUUGAAACUUAAUGAUGUGAAAAGCAGCAAAAUGUUAAGACUCCUGUAAAAUGAGCAUGACCAUGGAGAAAGAAAUAAGCAGUUACUUUUUGCCAUGUUCAGAGAAAAACCUCUUUGGUGUGGGCCUGUACACAAGAAAAAAUUCUAACGAUCUCCUUGAAGCAUUGUCGAGUAUUUAAGUCUGCUAUGCUAAGGGAGGGGGGGGGGGGUUCGUAUUCCACGUAAUACUUUGUGAAAGUUAUUACUGUGAUAUGUGCACAAAUAUUAUCGAAAGCCAGAAGAUAGUGAUGUAACACUAGAUUAAUUUGAACUGCUCUGAUUAACUUAGGACUUGAGAGCCGAUAAGGGCAACAUGGGUUGGAUAUAGAGCAGUGUAUGGAAUGAAGGGUGGGAGAAACUGUGCUCUCCAAAUGUCAUUAUUCAAGCACAAUUCACACUUGGGAAAAUACUGAUUAAUAUCAAAAGAAUACCUCCAAAGAAUUUCCUCAGAAAAGGGCUGUGGGAGAGGGCAUGUAUAUUAAAGACAGCUGCCCAACUGUUUACCUUACAUUAUUCCACGCGGGCAAAGUCGUAGCUGGGCAGCUAGUUUUGGUAUAAGAUGACAAUAUGAGGUAUAAAAGCAACAUAAUGUAGGUAUUAAUCCUUGUUUUAAUAUGUACGGUAGUAAGAUAUAAGUGCCUAUAUGUAGAACUACACAAUUUGUAGGGGCGCAAACACUACUUCUCCCUGCAAAUCAUUCUGUUGCUGAGCAAGCGCUCAACCUCGGAUAUUUUAUUGCGAGUCCUCAACAAUCAGUGAUAUAUACACCAGCUACUACUAUCAAUUAAUUGAAAUACAAACACAUUGUUAUCUAUAUGUCAAGUCUCAAUUUUUGUACGAUGCCUAUAAACAGUAAAUUAUAUCGUGCUUGUAUAUAUUUGUACAGUUACUUCAUGCAUUGCGGAAAGCACUUGUCUCUAUUCAUAACCCUUUUUUUCAUUUCUAAACUAUAUUAAAUACAAAGUGAGCAACUAGUAGUAUUGUGGAGUGAAAUGACAGUCGUAUUUAUUAAACUAAGGUAUGAAAAAAUAAUUGUAAUAUUAUGACCCCAUAUUUAAUAAUGUAGGCAUUUGAGAACUUGAAAAUACAUUCUGAGUUACAUUUAAAAUUUUUGUCUAAUGGCAUAGAUGUCACUUUUAG